This 253-nucleotide ribosomal RNA is filed under the name uncultured bacterium. RNAcentral describes it as "partial 16S ribosomal RNA". It matches the Rfam family "Bacterial small subunit ribosomal RNA", at positions 524 to 776 of the family's 1533-position model. The record is from RNAcentral.
GACGUAGGGCGCGAGCGUUGUCCGGAAUUAUUGGGCGUAAAGGGUAGGUAGGUGGUCUCAUUUGUCUGGGGUGAAAGCCUUGAGCUCAACUCAAGAAGUGCCCCAGAAACGGUGAGACUAGAGUCCUGGAGAGGGUCGUGGAAUUCCCGGUGUAGCGGUGAAAUGCGUAGAGAUCGGGAGGAACACCAGCGGCGAAGGCGGCGACCUGGACAGGUACUGACACUCAACUACGAAAGCGUGGGGAGCAAACAGG